Molecule: long non-coding RNA, 3307 nt
Organism: Gallus gallus (chicken)
Lineage: Eukaryota; Metazoa; Chordata; Aves; Galliformes; Phasianidae
Source: Ensembl
AUUACAUUCCUCAGCCAGGCAGGGUUAAAGAAAAAAGAAAAAGGAGAGAGAGUGAGCAAGUGGGGAAGGGAGGGUUUGGAAUGUGCAGCCUCCAUCCCAGGCCCCAAUCUGCAGGGAACCCUGUCCUUUACCCCCAGACACCAGGGCCUUGCAGGGCUAUGGCUCAGUCCCAGCAGGCAGGCAUCCCUGGGAAGAUGUCCCUUAGCCCCUCUGUGAGCAGGACAUGGUCCUUGUCAUCACCCAGGCCUUUCCCUACAUCACAUGCCUCAAGUCCCCUUGCCCAUGGGAGGUUUCCAAAUGCAGCUACCAUCUUGUUUGUGAAGACCUAACUUUAUACAGAAAAACAACCACGCGUAGAUUCCCCCCAGAAUUUCUCCACCGCCAACCAAGGCUCACAUGGCUGAGAGGCCAUCUUACAAUCUGGCGUCAGCACCACCAGGGCUUUUGCUGUCACUUGCUCCUGCUCACUGAUGGGCUUCGUGCACAUGCAUACUGAACAUGCACCACCUCUGCUCUGGUCUCUGCUCUCUUCUCAUGGAUGGUGGAGGCAAAGAGCCCCCACCUACAGAGCCUUUACAGAUUUCACUUUCUCCUACUUCUUAAUUAAGCAAAAAUUAGGAGAAGAGGAAACCGCCUAUGCUAAACAGGCCUCCUCCUCAUUCCUUAAUGAGCACAGAAGUGGCAACCGUGCUACAUACAAUGCAGAGAUGAAGGAAAAGAAGAGCUCCAGAGAGGGAGCCACACGGCUGUGUUACAUCCACUGAGGCACGGGAAGUGUUCUGCAGCCACUGUCAGUCCCCCAGCCUCCACGUGGGAGGGCUCAGCCUUCUCCACUGAGCAUGGAAAGGAGGCUGGCAGACUCGGACUCCCCAACAGAAAUACGGGGACAGAGAAGGUGUCUCUUGUUUGCUCCCUGCUCAUGGAGGAACAGGAAUGCAAUACUGGGGACGCAGCUUCCCCUCGUCCCUCUCAACUGGGAUCCCCCCCCCCCUUAGGAUGUGCUCCUCCAUUUUCUGACUCCCUCUGGCUCGCCAGCAUGCAGACCCUGGCCUGGCUCAUGGUGUGCAAUCCAAUCUGAAAAUGCUCCUUUACCUAGAUUUAAUUUCCCAUAUGAUAGCUCUCCCCACCCCCACCCUUUGCUCCCAAGGUAACAGCUCAAGGCUUCAGGAAAAAAGAGAAAAAGGUCCCAUCCCCCAGCCUCCAACCCCCUUUCUUAGCAGCUGCAAGUGAAAAUACCAUAUCUGCUUCCAACUACACCACAAGUGACAGUCACCAACAUAUUGUUAUUUAAAGAUCAAUUCUGAAUGCAAUAUUGCUGUUCCUAGGCCUGCAUCAUCCCUGUGUCUCUCAGACCCACUUCAUGUUUGUUACUGACACAUGCAGAGAAAGAUUGUCUUUUAAAAUGUAUUGAUUAUUAUGUGCCUCCUUUUUUUAUGUAAAUGAAGGUAUCAGUAUUGCUUUAAUCAUAGCAGUAAUUCCUCUAAAAGCGAAAUACGAUGGAAUUGGAAAAAUCCAUUGAUAGGAAGCAGAAAUGAAAUUGCCCAUGAAUACACACGUAUCUAUUAAAGUCACUGAAUUCGUGACACAAUAACAUCCUUAGGUUCAUAAAACUAAUUUUUAAAGCAGACGCAAGAUAAUACUCAACUUGGUCAGGCUAUUUUUAAAGGUCAUGAUUGCUCUAAAGGAGGACAAGAGGGCUUUAGGAUGUGAAUAGGCCAGCUUUUUAUUUUACAACUUGGAAACACAAACCCACACUAGUGGCAGAAAGGGCAAUCCAUUUUGUACACUAAAGCAGUCAAAAUGGGGAACAAAACCCAACGAAUUUCCAUACAACCACUCAGCUUAAACACAAGCCCAACAAACAAACACGAGGUAGGGAUUUUUUUGGUCAAUUUCUACAUGAUCUCAAAUUUUUUGUGCACAUUUCAGCAUUUGUGGCAGGGUGUGUGUGUGUGUGUGUAAGGAAUCAGAGCAGGAGGGGGUGGUUCCCUGCCAGGAUAUAUUAAAUGUCUACAGAAUCCCAUCAUGGCAGGGGCUGGGUGUGCAACAGUAACUGAUCAUGAGGAUGUAUAAGGACUGGAACCAAAUGCUUUGACAAUAUUAUUGCACUGCUUUAUUUGUGCAGACAGUAGUGCAACAUUGUCAGAGCCAGCGAUACCAGCAGCCACUGUCACUUCUGCACAGCUGUCCUGCAUCCUUUUGUAAGGGACUGCUACAUUACAGUGUUAACCACAAUAACGUUUUUAUGUUUAGCCCGCAGUAAAACUCUGCAUGACAAAGUUUAUUUGCAAUCGUAAUUAGACAAGGUAAAAAACAACAACAACGAAAAGUUAGUAAAAAAGAAAAAAAUGAAAGGGAGGGAGAAAGAGCAAGGGAGAGAGCACUGUUAGCCUGGCUUGUUAACCAAGGCAUUCAGGGCUUUUCCUACAUGCCCAGUGUAUCAAGGCAUGGUAUGUUAUGAAGGUUUUAUACAAUAAAAUAUUUUGCUACAGUAGUGGAGAAUAAAAGAAGGGGCCUAACUCAGCAUCCCCAAAUGUACACGCUUCCAUAAAAACCAGACCAGUUGCUCAAUGAAUCUGAACUAUGCAAUUUAAAUAAAUCACAGAGUGCCAGCCCCUUCCUGUUCCUUCACAAGUUUUCUUCAUUGCGCUGUGUAUUUUGCAGUGGUUGCCUAACACAGACCAAAAAGCCUAGAAUGGUGUAAAUACACACUGCCUGGAUUUGCUAUGAAGGAAGAAUGUUACAGAGAUUAUUAGACUUUUGUAUAUGAAAAUAUUAGCGUCUGUGCUUCUAUCUCACAGAUAUUUGUGUGACACCACUCAAAAAAAAUAAAAUCACAGUAUAAAUGCAGCAGAUUCACUGAAACAAAUCAACAGCAUUAAAUACCCACAGAUAUUGGUAGGGACCACCUUAAAUACAUAUGGACAUGUUUCUGUAAAGGAAAAAGACUAUAAAGAAAUCAAUGUAAAAUUUCAAUGUAGAUAUUAUAUGGAAGCGUGUAGGAAUUUAAUAAUGAAUUUCUCACAAGAUAUUAGUAAACAAAUCAGGUAAUGUGAUGCCCUGAAAGCCCCCAGAAAUGCCUAGAGUUCAUUUUAAAUAGAAAGUGUUUAAAUUAUUCCAGCUCUUUAAUACGUAAGUACAUAUAAAAUGUAUAACCCAGAAUCUCUCCUUAUUCAAAACCAUUCCCACAUGUAUAAAACCUUAUUUCACACACGUGCAUAAAUACACUGAUGGAGGCAUCUAUUUUAGGGUUGUUUGCCCACUCUGAACAGGGUGGGCUGCUAAAGGGGGUCAUGUUUCUGCCAGC